AUGUUUUUUUACAGUGUAAGGAUAUGGGUAGGAUUUGGAUUGAAAAAAAAAAGAAAAUCUGUUCUUGUCAGUUUAAUAUCUGAUACGUCCUCUAUAUUAAACAGAUUUUUAGAGCUGGGAGCCGGAAAAGGGGCUUGCUACACCCACUCUGCAGAUCGGCCUGGUAUUGCAUUACUGCCAGGUUUGGUGCACCGUUU
Molecule: small nuclear RNA, 197 nt
Organism: Hemibagrus wyckioides
Lineage: Eukaryota; Metazoa; Chordata; Actinopteri; Siluriformes; Bagridae
Product: U2 spliceosomal RNA
Exons: 1
Source: RefSeq, a predicted model, not a curated record